This is a long non-coding RNA of Apis dorsata (giant honeybee), 384 nucleotides long. RefSeq lists it as uncharacterized. NCBI's taxonomy places the organism in Eukaryota, Metazoa, Arthropoda, Insecta, Hymenoptera, Apidae. The transcript has 2 exons. The record is from RefSeq and is a predicted model, not a curated record.
GCAAAAUAAAAUAUUAAUGACAUUUAAUAAUCAAUUUUUUUUACCAUGACUCAGAAGGAAUCCAUGUAACAUGUGUCAAUUGAGACUGUGCUUUAUCAGCAAGACCUGACAACCAUGCCAUUUUCAUAUAAAAAUAAAAAUAAAUCCUUGUUAUAAUUUUGAUGACGUUUAACACUUCACAAAAUUCAUGUUCUCAUCUCUAAUAACUUAACCUAAAAUAACAGAAUAUAUCUAUCUAUCUAUAUCUAUAUAUAUCAAAAUUAUUUAAAAAUUUCCUUUUAUCUUAAAUUUAAUUAUUAAGAAAUAUGAUAAUGAUUUAAUAAAUAUUAAUUAUUAAUAAAUUUUUGUAAAUAAAUCAUGUAAUUUAUUUAUACAUUAUCAUGA